This 697-nucleotide small RNA is filed under the name Pongo abelii (Sumatran orangutan). RNAcentral's name for it is "processed transcript". The record is from RNAcentral. Lineage: Eukaryota; Metazoa; Chordata; Mammalia; Primates; Hominidae.
CUCUAGCCGGGGCUCCCACAAUGGACAAGUGUGGGAUCCCCAGUGUGCUCCCCGAAAGGACAGGCAAGUGCAUCUGACCCAUUUUGAGCUUGAAGGCCUUCGCUGCCUUGUAGAUAAGUUGGAGUCUCUGCCACUGCACAAGAAAUGUGUCCCCACAGGGAUAGAAGAUGAAGAUGCUCUCAUUGCUGAUGUAAAGCUUAAAUUCCCCACUCGGCCAAAGGUGCGGGUUCCUACCAUCCCCAUUACGAAGCCUCACACUAUGAAACCAGCUCCACGGUUAACACCUGUGAGGCCAGCUGCUGCCUCCCCGAUUGUGUCAGGAGCCAGACGGAGACGAGUGCGAUGUCGAAAAUGCAAAGCCUGUGUGCAAGGAGAGUGUGGUGUUUGCCACUACUGCAGAGACAUGAAGAAGUUUGGGGGGCCUGGACGCAUGAAGCAGUCCUGUGUCCUCCGACAGUGCUUGGCACCCAGACUGCCUCAUUCAGUCACAUGUUCCCUCUGUGGAGAGGUGGAUCAGAAUGAAGAGACACAAGACUUUGAGAAGAAACUCAUGGAAUGCUGUAUCUGCAAUGAGAUUGUUCAUCCUGGCUGCCUCCAGAUGGAUGGAGAGGGGUUGCUUAAUGAAGAAUUGCCAAAUUGCUGGGAAUGUCCAAAGUGCUACCAGGAGGACAGCUCGGAGAAAGCCCAGGUAAAGGAA